AGGGAUUAAAGUGGUGAACAGGAGAAUAAAAGGAGGACUCCUAGGCGCUCACCUCCAAAGUGAGUUCCUUCCUCCCCAACAGACCAGACAACCAGAGCUGCCCUCAACCAUGAAGCUUCUGACAGUCCUUGUGCUGGUUGCCCUCCCCCUUUCCUGCUUUGCAGGUUCUGGAUGCCCAUUUCUAGAAGAAGUGGUUAACAAAACAAUCGAUCUUCAAGUGAGCAUGGAUGAAUACCAAAACUUCCUUAAACCUUUCUCAUCUGGUCCUGAAUCUGAGUAGGCCAUAGCAGAACUGAAGGAGUGUUUUCUCAUCCAGUCAAAUGAAACUCUGCACAAUGCUGCAGCAAUGAUGGUAACUAUGGUUUCUUAUGUUGAGCUCUCAAUCCACUGGACAAGGACAAGCAGGCUCUAAGUUUGUCACUCAUUGUGCCACAGGAGGGGUUACACAUGACUUAUUUUAUUUCAGUGAAUUUAAUUGUGGGUGCAUGUGAAUCUUUUGACAUCCAGAAAGCCAGCCAAGGUCCCAGUGCUGACUUGCCUCUUCACUUUGUGGAAUCUUUCGGGAAUGUAACUUAAAAAGGCCAAAGAGGGAAAAGAAUACACACACACACCACACACUUUCUAUCAAGGUAUAAAACAUCUGAUUCUUAAGAAGUCCUUCACUUGUAGAAGUGAUCAACAAAAAAGAUCCCUUCUUCAUUGAAGCAAAGAGGAAAAUGUUCAUAAGAAUUUUUUAAAAGUCAAGAAAAAACAAAAGAGAAAGAAAAACAACAACAACGAAAGAAGUAAAGGAUAUAAAUAGACAGGUGAACAGAACAAAGCAAUACACUAUGCCCUGAGUGUAUUUUGGUCAGUUUAUUGGAGGAAACUACAUCUCAAAAUUGUAAAGGAAGAAAGACUUACACAUACAAAAAUAAAAUUAAAUACAUUGAAAGAUACAAAGAUGAAAAUUAAAAAAAACUUUAACAAAACAAAACAACAACAACAAAAAGAGAAUAUGAUUAGGCAGGUGAAUAGAACAGAGCUACACUCUAGACUUUGGGUGUAUUUUGGUCUGUUAGAAGAAACUACAUCCCAAAAUUUUUAAGAAAGAAAAACUGAUAUACAUACAAAAAUAAGAUUAAAUACUAUGAAGGGAUAGGAUGCGACAGUAAAAAUGAAAAUUAAAAAAACAUUUUAAAAAAGGACUUGAUGAAAUAAGAAGGUGGUUGACAAAGGAAGGAAGAAAACAAUUUAAAAAAAAAGAAAAAACAUAAAGAAAAUUUAAAAAAUUAAAGUUGGAAGACGGAAGACGAAAAUCAUGGGGAUAAAGCCAUGAGUUCUAUUUGCUCUAUUCCCCUACUGCUGGAUUUCUGCAGUUCUCAGUUGAUUGGUAAAGUUAGUCUUGGCUGGAUUUUUUUGCUAAUCUUCUGGGGGAGGGGCCUAUUGCAUUGAUUCUCAAAGGUCUUUGGCUCAGGUGGAAUUGCACCUCCCCUACCAGGGGCCGGGCUAAGUAAUCUCCCAUUUGCUCUCUGUGGCUUUUGGUCCCUGAAGGCUUUCCUAGCAGCUUUAGAGGAUGAGAAUGGAAAUGGUGGCUUCCCUGGAAAUUUCCUCCCCAGAGCCUAAAGCUCAGGGCCCCACUCCUCAGUGAGCCCUGUCAGUCAAUCAUUCCUGUCUCCCUGGUCUCCAGCCUCCGCACUCUGUGCUCACUGGGCCUGUGAUCUAC
RNAcentral lists this long non-coding RNA (1705 nucleotides) under Ailuropoda melanoleuca (giant panda). RNAcentral describes it as "lncRNA (ENSAMEG00000024026.1)". The record is from RNAcentral. Lineage: Eukaryota; Metazoa; Chordata; Mammalia; Carnivora; Ursidae.